GUGUGUGUGUGUGUGUGUGCACAGAUCUGUAUGUCAUAUGGUGGAGACUAGGAACCAUAGGUAGGGAAGUAGUUGAGUGACGGACUAGCUGGCGCUCAUGUAAACAAAUCAGCUGUAGCUUAUCAGCUGAUGACUGAUUACUAAUUGCACUGAGUUAUGGGAUUACACUUGAUUGGUAGGAAGGGGGCGAGAGGUAUGUUGAUAAGCCAGGGUGAAGAUGCCUGUGGAGAGUUGGUGCCUUGUCUCUGGCUUGUCUUUGUGUGUUGCAGUGUUGGAGUGGUGGAUCGCUAAAGGACCGGCGGACGGCCUAUGUCGUCAGCUAAA
Long non-coding RNA from Alosa sapidissima (American shad), 324 nucleotides. RefSeq lists it as uncharacterized. Lineage: Eukaryota; Metazoa; Chordata; Actinopteri; Clupeiformes; Clupeidae. The record is from RefSeq and is a predicted model, not a curated record. The transcript is spliced from 3 exons.